AAGCAAUGAAGUUUAGUUUAUUUUAUUUGGAAGGAUGGGAACGGAGAGAAUGGGGUGUUGAGGUCUUAGAAGAAAAAAAAUUUUAAGCAAAUAAAGGUGAGAUCCUUUAAUUGAUGAGCCAAGAAUUGCUCGACUGGGGAUUAAGAAUAAAAGGAGGGUUUGGAAGUGAAGGAACUUGGCAAAAAAGAAGAAGAAAAAAACUGGGUUUACGAGUGAUUGAUAAUGAUGAAGAAGUGAUAAAGGAGCUGGCGCAAAUUAGAGGGAGAAGACUUAAUAUAGAUUGUUAAGGUACUCUUCUUCUUCUUCUUUUUUCUAUUUUGCUUGGUUAUUGUCUUAACUUUUAAUUGCAAUUGCUUCUCAAUGGAAAAUCUUUUUGAAUUAUGAGAGGAGAACAACGUGGGUUAAUGUAACUCGAAUCCAUAUCACAUCUAGAUGGGAAAAUAUCCUCAUUAUUAAGUCAACAUAUAGGUUCAUAGGACAACGGGAUUAAUGCAACUCAAACCCAUAUCACAUCUGGAUGGGACCUCAUUAUUAGGCCAACAUACAGAUUCAAUGGAUUUUCUUUUUAAAGUUAUUGAGGUGAGUUGUGUUGUUAUAUUAAUGUUUUGAUUUUCUAGUUGUUGCAAGAGGGUUGUGUUUUGUAAUGGUAUCCUUACAAGGGUUCUAAAGGUUGUUUGGCUUUUGUUAUUGUAUUGUUGGUUAGUGUCAUCGUUGUUUUCUAGUGCUUCUAAGUGAAUGAAUUUAUGAUGAUUGCCUUCGUUCAUAAAAUACUUUUAAAAAAAAGGAAAAUAAAAGAAAAGGGUUAUCAUGGUAAGAUAGUCUUCGUAUUUAAGAUGCAUACAUCCAAAACGUAUAGGGUGCAUCUAAAGUAAUCAGAGUCAUCAUGAUCAGAUAUUCUUUGUAUUUAAAAUAUUCAUAGUGAGAGUCACUUUACCUAUUUUUAUAUUUAAGAUAACAGAUAAGAACUAUGGUUUAAAUUUGCGUUAAAUAAAUAUUUGACAAAUUAAAAACUAUAAAUAUCAUUUUAUUUAAAUCAAAACAUUCAAAUAUUUGAACCCCAUGUGAUGACCUGGUGAUCUAGGGUGUUCAUUAUCUUAGGUGUGACCUGAAUUUAAGUUGCGCUAGUCGCGCUAAUUGUUCAGACUUUACCUUAUUACUAUAAUUCACCCAAAAAAAAUCACUCACACACUUCAUUUAUUUCUUAAUAUCUCAAUAAAUUAAUUACACAAUCACAAAAUUUGCAAUACAAGAUAUCACAUACAGUAAUAUUUAAUUCUCUUUUUUCAUAGUUUAAUUGCUUAGUCAUGAACUUAAACUUGAUUAUGCAUGCAUAUUGGAAUAACAUGACUUUUUUUCACAAAAUGAAUAUUAUAUUUGAAUCCCCAACAAACCAUAUAUACAACGAUGUUUCAUAUAAUUUUAAAAAUAUAUAGGGUUAAAUCAAUAUUUAGAGUUUCAAUUUAGUAUCUUUUUCUCACAAUAUUGAAAUUUGAAUUCCUUUUAUUUAAUAUUUAUUCUCGGAUUUAAAUUUUUAUUUUGUUAAAAUUAAACUAAAUUUAAUAAUUAUUCCUAUUUUAAGAAAUUUUCAAUGGCUAACUUUUUCUUUUCACACAUAUUUUAUAGUAAUAAAAAAAUGAUGAUGAUGACACCACUAAUGUCCACCAUCGACAAAGAAAAGAAAAAUAGCAAAUCAAUGGCUUACUUCUUUUCCACCUUGAUUAGAAAAUAUAUGGAAGCUUCACCUUUUCCACAAGCAAUAUUUUUGGAACGAUAAAAUUUAUUAAAAUUUUAAAAAUAUUAAAAAAUAUUUUAAUCGAUUUGUAUCAAUUUUUUAUUUAAUUAAAUUAACAUUAUUGUUUGAACUAAUAUUCCAGUGAAUCCACACAACAAUAUUACUUAAUUCAUACAAGUAGGCAACCCAUCCAAGAACUAAGAAUAAAAUUAUGAUUAUGGCCAGAGUUUAUAGCAGUGGUAUCUUAUAUAUGCUCUUCUGCAUAAGCUGCUUUUAGGUGUGUAUUUCUGAAUACAAUAAACGUAUUCAAUUAGAUCCCUUGAAUUUAGUUUUUCAUCGAAACCCUAGACGAGUCAUUAAACCUAACAUGGCAAACACCAAGUACUAACAUAUUCGUAAGAACUUCAAAAAAAUUAUUAUACAAAAUAGAUACGAUAAAAACCCAACCAAGCAUAAAAAAAAUCAAACACCUGAAAACAGUCCAAAACACCUAUAAAACAACCUUCACCAAGACCUAACAGAGAGACCCCUAUACCAUUGGACUAAGAACCUGUGCCAGCAUGCAUAAAACUCGGCGUCGAAUUUGCAGCAACUUGGACGUUGUAAGACCACCCUUCCAUCCGAAAAGAGCACUUGAAUAAAGAGACUCCUACAAAUUAAAAGAUAAUUCCAUUGAAACAACUCACUCGAAACCUUACCAACCAACAGACCUCGUCAGCCCAAAUAGCAAACUGCACCACCUAUCAACAAACCUCCCGAUUAAACGUAAAAUCCAAUCAAAGCAAGCUUCGAUGGCCUGACCAAAAUAAACAAAGAACGCCCCAAGCUCCAACCCAUGAAACAAUGGCAUGCCCAUUAAAUCUGGACUCCAUCAACUUCUGACUCAUCCAUCUGCCAAGUCAAUUCCCCUUCUUCAGCUCAAUCAUCCAUAGCCAAAUCAAAUUGCUUCCUCAUAAUCCAAGUCAUAGUUACUUCUUCAACUCCCCUCAAUAUCACGCAAAUCUACUUCUGAAUCACAAAUAGAUUGAAUUUUCAUCAAAUGGCUAAUAAUUUCUCCCCCCUGGCCCUACUUGCUUCCUUAAGUUCCAAGUAGCAAUUACUUCUUCUAAAGGUUCAAAAUCAACACUCCUUGAUAAUUAAGUUGUUUCUAUUUCUAUUUCUAUAAUCAAUGGAGCAAUUCACUAUCUUGUCAUCCCUGUUUCCUUUUUGAUGACUUCCUUCCCCUCUUAUUCUUCGCUUUUUUUGUAAUUCUUUUGCUUCCCUUUAUCAUCAAGAGCUCGAAACAUUACCAUUGGAUCGAUUUCUGCUACUCGCACCUCUAAACAUGUAUCACCAACUUGCAAAUUGAUAAUUUCAUCAAUUCUUUGCAACUGUUCCAUAAUAAUUUUAGUACUUCCUGUAAAUAAUGAGAUCCCAUUUUCAGUAUCGUUGUCUACUCUAAGGAACUUCCCCCAGUGGCACGCAUUGCUUUGGAAGGUCCCUUUACUCCCAAUUUGAGUCUUCGAAAGAUUGAAACAAGUCAUUGUCCUUGAACAAAAUCAAGAUCAAACGUCCAGAAAGCUUAAAAAUAUUCACCCCAUCAAUUCCCUCUGACAGAAGUUUUCUUUAAAGAAUACGAGGACGACCCAUCUUCAAUCCAAGCAAUAGCACAGUGUUCCAGCCAACUAAGUUUAUUCGUAUCAACCACACCUUGCACAACAACCCGUUUUAAUGGUAUCAUGCUCCAUAACUCUUAUUUCUUCAGAAGCAGAUGUCGGCUCACCUUCUCAUCAGGCCUAGCCUCGAUAUGAGUUUAAUUUUUGUUCUACACACCCUUCUCCAAAAGGUGUUCCUAACUCGAAACCUUGCCCUAUUAAUUUCAACCCGAAAUCCAUAGAUUCUAAAACUGUUUAAUCUCUCUAUCGCCCUUUCUGCAUCAGUCACGCAUUCAGUGCAGUCUUUGCGGCAAGUUGUUAACAAAGAUCGUCGGACACUUGAGAUUCCCCUCCACCGGCGAAUGGUUAUUCGAAAAUUUUCGUUUAAGUAGUAUUAUGCUAUUUUAAAUAUUCUUAUGCUUAACUUUUUUGUCCAUUUUACAAUCUAUAUUUAAGGUUUGUUAUUACAUUAUUUCACUGUGUAUUAAUGAAAAUUUUUCACACUUAUUUCUUUUCUCAUUCAAAAUUAUUAUUAUUAUUAGAAGUCACUUAUAGUUAAAUUAAUCUUUCUGUUAAAAUUUCAUCAAUUUCUAUUAUUAAAAAUUUAUUUUUAUAUGUCAAAAUGAGGUACACCGGACAUACCAUGUGCCACUGUUUAAUAUUUGUUAGCUAUGAUAGUUUUAAUAAUAGAAAUGGAUGAAUUUUUUAAGAAACAAGAUCAAUUUACUCUUUAAUCUAAUAUAUUGGAACUAAUUUACUUGUUUUUAAAUAAAGUGAUCAAAUAUAAUCGAAUUUGUAGGACGAAGAUAUCUAUAAUAAUUUUACAAGAAACUGAGUGAAAGGUACAAGAAGCAAAAGCCAACACCUAAAAUCACCCAGAACUUAACAAUAAUCAUCUAAGAACAACUCCAAAAGACACCAAGAAACAGCAAUAAAUACAACUCUAACACCAGCAACCAAUUCCACACCACAAGAAUAAAAAACCUAACAACCCCAUAUUAUCAGUCUCCACACAACCAGAAAAUAACAAACACCCUUAGUAAUAAGCAAACCCAAUCACACAAUCACCAAAGCAAAAGUAUAAGCUAGAAAAGUUUAUUAUACCUAUGUAUUUUCUGCUAUAUAGGUGGGGAGGGGUGAAAGUAUAAAGGUGGGUGCUUGAGGAUUUGGAGAAAGGGAGAGUAAAAACUAGAAGAAAAUUUGGUUACCUAUGUACGAAAAUCAUUUGAUACAUAGAGUUUUUUACACUUUACAAGCGGAUUAAUACGCAGAUAUAUUAAAUAAUUACCCAUAUACAGCAAAAUAUGUAGGCAGCUGAAGAAAUUAUAAAGAACUGAGAGAUUAAAGAUGAAACAUUAAACAUAGAAGACACAGAUACUUAGUUCCAUAUUAUAUUGUUGAAAAGGUCGACGAACUGGCAGUGAAGGAUGCGUUUAUGGAUAAGGAGAUGAAGAAGCUUUUCCUCUCUAUAUCUAAUUAAAACACCAUAUAGCUAGCAAACCAAUCAUCCCAGAAAAAUAUUUAAAGAAAAAACAGUUAAGUCGUCACUACAUAUUAUUGUGCAAUUAAAAUAUAAUAUAUAAGGUAUGUUAAGCUGAAACAUAUUAUGUAAUCGAGGAAUAAUGUGACAGAACCUAGUCCAGGCUAACUUCACUAGCCUGCAUAUGGAUUGGGUUGUGACAGAACCAAGUCCAAGCUAACACUUUGAUGAUGAGUAAUCAUGUUGCAACAUGCUUCUCCAGCUGCAUCACUAGGCCCACUGCCAUAGGCUAUUGCAUCACCACCCUCGGCGAUACCAAAGAAGUCGGUUUCUCUUUCUGGUUUGGCCAUACAGGGCGAGAGGAGUGAGGGUUCACCCGUGUCAGUACCCUUGGUAAUGCCCA
RNAcentral lists this long non-coding RNA (5249 nucleotides) under Gossypium barbadense (sea-island cotton). Its description in RNAcentral is "long non-coding RNA (GBAR_LNC015867)". Lineage: Eukaryota; Viridiplantae; Streptophyta; Magnoliopsida; Malvales; Malvaceae. The record is from RNAcentral.